Molecule: long non-coding RNA, 3649 nt
Organism: Arvicola amphibius (Eurasian water vole)
Lineage: Eukaryota; Metazoa; Chordata; Mammalia; Rodentia; Cricetidae
Exons: 2
Source: RefSeq, a predicted model, not a curated record
CCUGCGCCCCACCCCACCGGGGCGCGCGACCGCGGCGCGUGGAGCCCAGAUCCCUCCGCCUACGGGACAGAGCGUGGCCUCGGGACCUCAGCACCCCGGCCCAGAGUUGGCAGAGGUCUAAGUAGAUAAGUUUUGGGGAGACGAGAGUGUUGGGAGGCCCCAGCUCCUCCACUUACUGUGUGACAAAGCUCCGAAGGCAGAUCGCGUUCUCUCCUCGGGGUUACCUGGGGAGCUCCGCUGCUCCCUCUACCUGUGACAGGUCCCCUCCUUUCCCCUGGCCCGGCUCGGUUGACGCCCAGACAUUUAAAGCAACAGUGCAUAAUUCUCUGGUGACCUAAUGUUCAGUGCCUGCGGCCCCAGCGCUCUUAACUAUCAAGGGGGCAAUUUAAAGGGGCGGGACCCCAACAACCACCACCUCACAGGAAACAUCAGAAGCCUCAUCGUAGAGAAGAAACAGUAACUCUCUUUAAAAGAAAAAAACCUUUUAAAAUCCCUGGUGGCCUCUGGGCGUGGCGAAUUUUUAAAUGCUCACAAGAUUGUGCAUACCAUUGCUUCUCAACACGGACCCAUCAGACUUCCUGUCCAGCAUCCUGUCACUUCCAAGUCCUCCGCUGGCUCUACCUGGAGCUCGAACUUCAAAACCAAGCCUUGCAGUAGAGAAGCACAAGGCUCUUUACAAGCUUAGAGUCUGGUUUUCUGGACAAAGUCCCUGUUCUGGGUAUUUGGGACUGGGAGAGGCAACAAGUGGUGGGUUAGAAGCAUCAACUCGGAGUCAGACUGUCUAAUUCAAAUCCUUUCAUUGUUUAUGAAGAGCAGAGCACAUUUCUUAACUCUCCAUCCUCUUGGUUAAGAUGAAGGCGGUGAGGAUAGUACCUAACUUGUGAAUCUGGUGUGAGUUUAGUUCCCAGGAGACUAGCACAAUGCCUCAUGUUGCAUUGUAAUGACCCAUGGGCCGCUCAAAUGAAAAGAAAAAAGAAAGAAAAACCUUUUAGGCCAGGGUGAGUUCAGACAAGGCUCAAGGGGGACAAGUUCAAUAGGACCGUUCUGCAGAGAGCUUGGAGACUUGUAUGUACCUCCUUAAACAGGAAGCUAGCAGGCUUCUAUUCCGUUGUCCUCCCCUUUCAAUCCUUCUACUUGGCCCCUCCUUCCAGAAGCCCUAUUUAUACAGUAUCACAUAUGGUCCCCAAAUGUUGCUCUUUAGUUUCCCUAGUAGUAUGGGGGUGGGGGCUCCCAGCACAGAGAUGCCAGUACUCCUGAGCAGGCUGGUUUGCCCCAACACUUCAGGGAGGGCAUCUGUCCUUCCCCAAGCACUUGGAGAAUACAGCCUUGUUCGGGCGUGAAGCUGUGGUGGGAGCGGGAUGAGAAGGUGCCCUCCCAGUGGGGAGCCUCCCCUCACUCAGGCCUCUAUUUUUAGUGCUUCCCCAGGCUCUAGCAGGAGAAAUCCUUUAGUCAUCAGGGUGUUUAUUUUCCGGCUGCUUCCGACGUCGGGAAAAGCAGAAUGUUGAGACUGGAGAGAUCCAGGGCUGCCGUAAAAGACUUCUCAGGAACGGGCCUGAGAACACAGCCUUCAGACCAUUGGGUCCCAGCUCACAGGAAAACAAAACAGGAUGGGCCCAGGACAGCUAAGCCCUCAGGAGUUUCCAACCUGCCUUAACCUUGGAGGCUAUCCAAGCUAGAGAGCCCUCUGGCCCAGCUCUAUUUGAAGACUGUUUUUCAAAACAACAACUAAGUCCAGAAGAAAUUCUUUCCCAGAAUCCCCCUUCCCACCCUCUCGUAGGUCUGCCUGGAGAGCCUCCCGCCAACCACAACCCUAGCCAAUCUCAAACCUGAGGCGGGCCUUCCAGAGCUAGGAUUGGUUGGCUGGGCCUUCUAGACCUGGAAUGUUGAGUCUUUAACAAAGGAAUGAGGAAGGAAGGUGAGUCACCUGGGGAAGACUUUAAAGGACUAGCUAGGAGGAAAAGGAAGGGGGAAGCGCUCCAGGGAGGUGGGGGCCCUGGACGCUGACGGCUGACUGGACAGGUCACACGAGACCUGAGUAGGGGGCAGUAACACAAGAGGGACAACAUUCAGAGUCUGAAAACGUCUUGGAAGAGAAGAGAAAAGGUAACAGUCGUGAGGUCUUGAUUUCCACAGAGGACCGAAAAGGGCCAAGGUUCCCAUCUCUCUCAACACCCCUCUUCCACCUGGCAGUCCUUCCUCAACCUAGGAAAAGUGCUCUUGCCGUCCCUUCUAGUCUGAUGAGCUGCCUGCCAGGCCCUCCUCUCACCUUCCUUCCCCUGCGCCAUCUGGACAGUUCUCAAUCCCACCUCCACACCCAGCUCAGCCACCGAACUCAUCCUUCUUCCUCCAGUUUUUAAGUGAUUCCAGCAAAGAGCCCCCUACCCAACCUCUCCCCGCAUCUGCCACCGAGCUUGCGAACCGGACCCUCAGCAGGUGGGCGUAUAUAUUCUCUGCGCGAAGGUGGGACUCUGCACUCUGUCCCUGUCUCCUCAGGACGCACUAGCUUGCUGGUUUGGGUUUCUAAGGUACUUUUCCUUACCAGCUCCUGAGUUCCUGCAGGAAUGCAGAUCUUUGCAGAGCUGGCGUGGAACACGCUUAGCAAAUGUAUAUACGCAGCUGUGUGAGUUAGGAUUGUGCAAACUCUACUGAACACCUCAUUUCUGCAUCGAUAAUCGUGGAAGCCAAACACAGGGGUCGAAUCUGGGGUCCUACGAUUCUACUUCGGGGCAGAGUUGGGGUGAGGAAUAGAUAGCCGAAUCCGCCGGAGUCAAGGCCCGCGUGGCACAUUAGUGCCCUACGCUGCCUGGGACCAGACGUGGGGACACGAGCAGAAGCCCCUGGAGCUGAGAGGGAGAGGUGCCAGAGCGGGUCCCAGGUCCGUGUACCCCCACAGGAGCUCCCUGCCCCCCCCCCACGGCUGGGCAGGAUGUGGUGGCAGCUGCAGUUGGGUGGGCAGGAUGUGGGGGUGGGGGCAGACGAACGCAGCCCGACAGCAGUUUCUCCCCCCACCCCAGCUCCUGCCUCCACCCCCUCCGGGUCACGUGCUCUCAGCUUGGGCACCGAGGGACUAUUUCCCAUUUUUCGCGGAAGGACAUCUCAAACCCGUCGCCAUGGACUUAAGUUGUAUCACGCCAUUUUCUUGCCCCCCUCUCCAGCCUAGAACAGAAAGUUUGCCCAGUACACAUUUCUGGAAAGCGUGGAUUAACUCGGAGGAGGCCCCUUUAAAUGCAAAUGGUCGCCCUCCUGCUCUGCUCCCCCUCCUCCCCAACCCCCAUUCCAACUUCUCUCCAAGUGCCCAAACUCCACCAGCUGCUAUUGACGUCAAUCGUGCGUCAGCAUCUCCAGCCCAACCAGACAGCACGUGGGGGGAAGAAGGCAAUCUUAAAGGGCCAGUCGCUCAGGGCCUUUUCGAUUACCGGAGAUGGAAAAGCUAAAUGGAAUAUUGGAAACUGUUGGAGCGGGAAGAAAUGCAGGGGAGACUUUCAGACUUUCAGGAUUGCUUAAGGCCGGCGACGUGGCUCAGCGGAUCCGGGUACUUCUUUCUGUGCAAGCCCGAGAAUCACCUCCCCAAAGUUAUCCUCUGACCUUCACAUCAUUUUUCUCCCCCGCACACAUAAUGUAAUGUAUUAAUAAAUCUUUUGUUGUUGUU